This 836-nucleotide ribosomal RNA is filed under the name uncultured Acidobacteriaceae bacterium. Its description in RNAcentral is "bacterial SSU rRNA". It matches the Rfam family "Bacterial small subunit ribosomal RNA", at positions 45 to 862 of the family's 1533-position model. Lineage: Bacteria; Pseudomonadati; Acidobacteriota; Terriglobia; Terriglobales; Acidobacteriaceae. The record is from RNAcentral.
GGCCUAACACAUGCAAGUCGAACGCGGUUAUCCAGCAAUGGAUGACUGAGUGGCGAACGGGUGAGUAACACGUGGGUGACCUACCUUCGAGUGGGGGAUAACGUCCCGAAAGGGACGCUAAUACCGCAUAACAUCCCGCCUUUGAACAGGUGGCGAUCAAAGCCGGGGACCGCAAGGCCCGGCGCUUGAUGAGGGGCCCGCGUCCGAUUAGCUAGUUGGUGAGGUAACGGCCCACCAAGGCGACGAUCGGUAACCGGCCUGAGAGGGCGGACGGUCACACUGGGACUGAGACACGGCCCAGACUCCUACGGGAGGCAGCAGUGGGGAAUUGUUCGCAAUGGGCGCAAGCCUGACGACGCAACGCCGCGUGGAGGAUGAAGGUCUUCGGAUUGUAAACUCCUGUUGCUCGGGACGAAAUGCUUCGACCUAAUACGUCGAAGUUUGACGGUACCGAGUGAGGAAGCCCCGGCUAACUCUGUGCCAGCAGCCGCGGUAAUACAGAGGGGGCAAGCGUUGUUCGGAAUUACUGGGCGUAAAGGGCGCGUAGGCGGCCUGUUAAGUCGAACGUGAAAUCCCUGGGCUCAACCCAGGAACUGCGUCCGAUACUGGCAGGCUUGAAUUCGGGAGAGGGAUGCGGAAUUCCGGGUGUAGCGGUGAAAUGCGUAGAUAUCUGGAGGAACACCGGUGGCGAAGGCGGCAUCCUGGACCGAUAUUGACGCUGAGGCGCGAAAGCCAGGGGAGCAAACGGGAUUAGAUACCCCGGUAGUCCUGGCCCUAAACGAUGAAUGCUUGGUGUGGCGGGUAUCGAUCCCUGCCGUGCCGAAGCUAACGCAUUA